Molecule: ribosomal RNA, 499 nt
Filed under: uncultured bacterium
Lineage: Bacteria
Description: partial 16S ribosomal RNA
Rfam family: Bacterial small subunit ribosomal RNA
Source: RNAcentral
ACUCAAAUGAAUAGACGGGGACCCGCACAAGCGGUGGAUGAUGUGGUUCAAUUCGACGCAACGCGAAAAACCUUACCUACCCUUGACAUGUCGCGAAUCUUGCUGAAAGGUGAGAGUGCCCGCAAGGGAACGCGAACACAGGUGCUGCAUGGCUGUCGUCAGCUCGUGUCGUGAGAUGUAGUGGUUAAGUCCCGCAACGAGCGCAACCCUUGCCAUUAGUUGCUACAUUUAGUUGAGCACUCUAAUGGGACUGCCGGUGACGAAUCGGAGGAAGGUGGGGAUGACGUCAAGUCCUCAUGGCCUUUAUGGGUAGGGCCACACACGUCAUACAAUGGCCGGUACAGAGGGUCGCCAACCCGCGAGGGGGAGCCAAUCUCAUAAAGCCGGUCGUAGUCCGGAUUGUAGUCUGCAACUCGACUACAUGAAGUCGGAAUCGCUAGUAAUCGCGGAUCAGCAUGUCGCGGUGAAUACGUUCCCGGGUCUUGUACACACCGCCCGU